This 1072-nucleotide long non-coding RNA is filed under the name Cyanistes caeruleus (blue tit). RNAcentral describes it as "lncRNA (ENSCCEG00000019240.1)". The record is from RNAcentral. Lineage: Eukaryota; Metazoa; Chordata; Aves; Passeriformes; Paridae.
ACAGAAGCUGGCUGGGGAAUUCUGAAAUGUUUACAACAUACAGAGCACACCUGAAGAACAGGGCUUAGUUAUGGACCCAUUUUCCUGUUUGCCACGGUGAGGUGAGCUCAUUGCCCAUUUCUAAGCACGCAGCAUCCCGCAGGGCGGUGCUUGCAGCAAUAUAAUCGCACGGGAGCUCAGCCCCAUGGCCCGCCAAGGUGAGCAGGAAAACCACGGCCACAGCUGCCCUGCAGCCACCCAGAGCUGCUUCCAAGAGCGUCGUGAAACGACACUCUUCGUAUUGCAUAGAGCUAUUUAUUACACAUGUACAUAUACUGUUACAUAUUAUAACAUCUAUAUAUACAUACGCGUGUGUUUAUACAAACAUAUGUAAUACAUAGAUAUUUUAUGUGAAUGUGAUCUAUAUAUAAUACUAUUUAAUAUGACAUAUAUUAUAUGGAAUGCAUCAAUACACGUAUUAUUACCUACAUGGCGAGGAAUAUUACGUAGGAACAUUACGAGCAGACCCUCGGUCCCGGCCUGGCCCUGCCCUACAGCCCGCCCCCUGCCCGCCAUGGUCCCGCNGGAAGGGCUUCUGAACGCCGCCGCUCUCGGGCUCCACCGUCCCCGCCUGUCAGGGGCUGUAGCAUUUGGGGCCCUCGCUGCUGGCAGCCACCGGCCUGCGCUGGCAGAGACCCCUCCCCGACCGGGUGCGCCCGGUGCAGGAACGGAAACAAACCGGGGAACUGUACUCUGGCAAGAUGCCCUCUGUCUGGUGUGUCUGGGAGCCAAGGACUGGCUUACACAAACAGCAGGAAGCUUGUGUAAGUAUCCACAGGAAAACUGUCAUGUGGGGAGACUGGGGCUGCUCUAGCCAUGAUAAGAUUUGAGGUCUGAGAAACAGAAUGUCGCUGGCUGUCAUGAAAUCUUUGUGUCCAUCGUAAGACCAUGGAGCUAGCCCUAACAAAAUCUAGGUUUUGCAGGUCGGGAACAGAAAACAGGCUUUGUCUGCAGCCAGAUACUGGGACAGGGAAGGGACUGGAAUGAAGAAACCAGAAAUAAAUGGAUUUCUAUUGUUUAUCUGACUAGAGGU